Molecule: long non-coding RNA, 212 nt
Filed under: Salvia miltiorrhiza (redroot sage)
Lineage: Eukaryota; Viridiplantae; Streptophyta; Magnoliopsida; Lamiales; Lamiaceae
Description: long non-coding RNA (SMIL_LNC008849)
Source: RNAcentral
AUAUAUAAACACAAAUAUGCAUAACGUUACACACAAAUAUAUAUAGGAUGUGGUUCUAGAGAGAACUACAUUAUUUGUGAGAACGUUAGAAUCAUCAAAUCUAAUGCAUCAACUGUUAAAAUUAAUGCACUAAAAAACAUAAAAAAAAAAUUUGCUCCCUUCAGGAUUCGAACCCAGGUUCUGCAUUCAUCCAACAAGAUGAUGCAUCCACC